UGUGCUCCACCCUAUGGUACUCCCAAUCACGGCCGGGUGUGAUACAGCCUGGAUUCGAACCAGGGUGUCUGUAGUAACGUCUCUAGCACUGAGAUGCAGUGUCUUAGACCGCUGCGCCACUCGGGAGCUCCCAUUAGGCCCUAAUCACAGAUACCUUUAAAAAAAAUAAAAGGUAGGGGUGUGGAUCAGAAAACCAGUCAGUAUCUGGUGUGACCACUAUUUGCCUCAUGCACCGCGACACAUCUCCUUCACAUAGAGUUGAUCAGGAUGUUGAUUGUGGCCUGUGGAAUGUUGUCCCACUGUACAAAGUAGCUGGAUAUUGGCAGGAACUGGAACACUCUGUCGGACACGGCGAUCCAGAGCAUCCCAAACAUGCUCAACGGGUGACAUGUCUGGUGAGUAUGCAGGCCAUGGAAGAACUAGGACAUUUUCAGCUUCCAGGAAUUGUGUACAGAUCCUUGCGACUUGGGGCCGUGUAUUAUCAUGCUGAAACAUGAGGUGAUGGCGGUGGAUGAAUGGCACGACAACGGGCCUCAGAUGCCAUCAUGGUAUCUCUGUGCAUUCAAAUUGUCAAAAUGUUCUCUGUUUAGUGAGUCCUCCAGAUCAGAGGCAGUUGGGAUGACCAGGGAUGUUCUCUGUUUAGUGAGUCCUCCAGAUCAGAGGCAGGUGGGAUGACCAGGGAUGUUCUCUGUUUAGUGAGUCCUCCAGAUCAGAGGCAGUAGGGAUGACCAGGGAUGUUCUCUGUUUAGUGAGUCCUCCAGAUCAGAGGCAGUAGGGAUGACCAGGGAUGUUCUCUGUUUAGUGAGUCCUCCAGAUCAGAGGCAGUAGGGAGGACCAGGGAUGUUCUCUGUUUAGUGAGUCCUCCAGAUCAGAGGCAGUAGGGAUGACCAGGGAUGUUCUCUGUUUAGUGAGUCCUCCAGAUCAGAGGCAGUAGGGAUGACCAGGGAUGUUCUCUGUUUAGUGAGUCCUCCAGAUCAGAGGCAGUAGGGAUGACCAGGGAUGUUCUCUGUUUAGUGAGUCCUCCAGAUCAGAGACAGGUGGGAUGACCAGGGAUGUUCUCUGUUUAGUGAGUCCUCCAGAUCAGAGGCAGUAGAGAUUACCAGGGAUGUUCUCUGUUUAGUGAGUCCUCCAGAUCAGAGACAGUAGGGACGACCAGGGAUGUUCUCUUGAUUAUUGCGUGAAUUGGACCAUUUCCUGUCCUGCUAAGCAUUUAAAAUGUAACGAGUACUUUUGGGUGUCAGGGAAAAUGCAUGGAGUAAAAAGUACAUUAUUUUAUUUAGGAAUGUAGUGAAGUAAAAGUAGUCAAACAUAUAAAUAGUAAAGUACAGAUACCCCAAAAAACGAAUUAAGUAGUAAUUGAAAGUAUUUUUACUGAAGUACUUUACACCACUGCCCCAUACCAUAACCCCACCGCCAACAUGCGGCACUCUGUUCACAACGAUGACAUCAUCAAACCGCUCACCCACACAACGCCAUGCACGUGAUCUGCAGUUGUGAGGCCUGUUGGACGUAACGCCAAAUUCUCUAAACUACUUUAGAGGCGGCUUAUGGUAGAGAAAUUAUCAUUUAAUUAUCUGGCAAAAGCUCUGGUGGACAUUCCUGCAGUCAGCAUGCCAAUUUCACGCUCCCUCAAAACUUGAGACAUCUGUUCCAUUGUGUUGUGUGACAAAACUGCACAUUGUAGAGGGGACUUUUAUUGUCCCCGGCACAAGGUUCACCUGUGUAAUAAUCAUGCUGUUUAAUCAUUUUAUUGAUAUGCCACACCUGUCACACCUGUCAGUUAGAUGGAUUAUCUUGGCAAAGGAGAAGUGCUCACUGACAUGGACGACAAACAUGGACAUGGACGUCAAACAUUUGAGAGACAAACAUUUGAGAGAAAAAAGCUUUUUUGUGCGCAUGGAACAUUUCUGGGAUCUUUUAUUUCAGCUCAUGAAACAUG
RNAcentral lists this long non-coding RNA (1939 nucleotides) under Salmo salar (Atlantic salmon). RNAcentral describes it as "lncRNA (ENSSSAG00000105217.1)". Lineage: Eukaryota; Metazoa; Chordata; Actinopteri; Salmoniformes; Salmonidae. The record is from RNAcentral.